AGGGUUCGAUUCUGGCUCAGGAUGAACGCUGGCGGCGUGCUUAACACAUGCAAGUCGAACGGGAUCCGGCCAAGCUUGCUUGGCUGGUGAGAGUGGCGAACGGGUGAGUAAUGCGUGACCAACCUGCCUCAUGCACCGGGAUAGCUCCUGGAAACGGGUGGUAAUACCGGAUGUUCCACAUGAUCGCAUGUGAUUGUGGGAAAGGCUUUUUGCGGCAUGGGAUGGGGUCGCGUCCUAUCAGCUUGUUGGUGGGGUGAUGGCCUACCAAGGCUUUGACGGGUAGCCGGCCUGAGAGGGCGACCGGCCACAUUGGGACUGAGAUACGGCCCAGACUCCUACGGGAGGCAGCAGUGGGGAAUAUUGCACAAUGGGCGCAAGCCUGAUGCAGCGACGCCGCGUGCGGGAUGGAGGCCUUCGGGUCGUAAACCGCUUUUGUUCACGAGCAAGGCAUCCUUUCGGGGGUGUUGAGUGUAGUGUUCGAAUAAGCACCGGCUAACUACGUGCCAGCAGCCGCGGUAAUACGUAGGGUGCGAGCGUUAUCCGGAUUUAUUGGGCGUAAAGGGCUCGUAGGCGGUUCGUCGCGUCUGGUGUGAAAGCCCAUCGCUUAACGGUGGGUCUGCGCCGGGUACGGGCGGGCUGGAGUGCGGUAGGGGAGACUGGAAUUCCCGGUGUAACGGUGGAAUGUGUAGAUAUCGGGAAGAACACCAAUGGCGAAGGCAGGUCUCUGGGCCGUUACUGACGCUGAGGAGCGAAAGCGUGGGGAGCGAACAGGAUUAGAUACCCUGGUAGUCCACGCCGUAAACGGUGGAUGCUGGAUG
RNAcentral lists this ribosomal RNA (818 nucleotides) under Bifidobacterium cuniculi. RNAcentral's name for it is "bacterial SSU rRNA". It matches the Rfam family "Bacterial small subunit ribosomal RNA", at positions 8 to 822 of the family's 1533-position model. Lineage: Bacteria; Bacillati; Actinomycetota; Actinomycetes; Bifidobacteriales; Bifidobacteriaceae. The record is from RNAcentral.